This 492-nucleotide ribosomal RNA is filed under the name uncultured bacterium. RNAcentral describes it as "partial 16S ribosomal RNA". It matches the Rfam family "Bacterial small subunit ribosomal RNA", at positions 29 to 507 of the family's 1533-position model. The record is from RNAcentral.
AGUGAACGCUGGCGGUAGGCCUAACACAUGCAAGUCGAACGGCAGCACAGUAAGAGCUUGCUCUUACGGGUGGCGAGUGGCGGACGGGUGAGGAAUACAUCGGAAUCUACUUUUUCGUGGGGGACAACGUAGGGAAACUUAUGCUAAUACCGCAUACGACCUACGGCUGAAAGCAGGGGAUCUUCGGACCUUGCGCGAUUGAAUGAGCCGAUGUCGGAUUAGCUAGUUGGCGGGGUAAAGGCACACCAAGGCGACGAUCCGUAGCUGGUCUGAGAGGAUGAUCAGCCACACUGGAACUGAGACACGGUCCAGACUCCUACGGGAGGCAGCAGUGGGGAAUAUUCGACAAUGGGCGCAAGCCUGAUCCAGCCAUGCCGCGUGGGUGAAGAAGGCCUUCGGGUUGUAAAGCCCUUUUGUUGGGAAAGAAAAGCAGCAGGUUAAUACCCCGCUGUUCUGACGGUACCCAAAGAAUAAGCACCGGCUAACUUCGUG